AAUCAACGCUGGCGGCGUGCCUCAGACAUGCAAGUCGAACGAUUAAAGCUCUCUUCGGAGAGUGCAUAGAGUGGCGCACGGGUGAGUAACACGUAAGUAAUCUACCUUCGAGUGGGGAAUAACGUCCGGAAACGGACGCUAAUACCGCAUAAUGCAGCGGCAUCGUAAGAUGACAGUUGUUAAAGAUUUAUCGCUUGAAGAGGAGCUUGCGGCAGAUUAGCUAGUUGGUAAGGUAAUGGCUUACCAAAGCUACGAUCUGUAACCGGUCUUAGAGGACGGUCGGUCACACUGACACUGAAUAACGGGUCAGACUCCUACGGAGGCAGCAGUCGGGAAUUUUGGGCAAUGGGCGAAAGCCUGACCCAGCAACGCCGCGUGAAGGAUGAAGUAUUUCGGUAUGUAAACUUCGAAAGAAUAGGAAGAAUAAAUGACGGUACUAUUUAUAAGGUCCGGCUAACUACGUGCCAGCAGCCGCGGUAAU
This 481-nucleotide ribosomal RNA is filed under the name uncultured bacterium. RNAcentral's name for it is "bacterial SSU rRNA". It matches the Rfam family "Bacterial small subunit ribosomal RNA", at positions 32 to 524 of the family's 1533-position model. The record is from RNAcentral.